CAGCCCUCCUGCUUGUGUUCAUGCCUGAGCGCUUCCCAGGGGGCAGCAGCAGUGCCAUGCCUUUCAUCUGCUCUGCUCAUAGAGCAUUUCACUGCGCAUAGAUCAGCACGUACUGCUGCAUCUGCAGCUGGCUGCAAAGCAAGUGGCAAUCUGUUACUCACCGCCGCUCAUGGGUCUUUAUCCUACAAAAUGCUUCAAGAGGUGUUACAGAGCCUGC
Molecule: long non-coding RNA, 217 nt
Filed under: Gallus gallus (chicken)
Lineage: Eukaryota; Metazoa; Chordata; Aves; Galliformes; Phasianidae
Source: RNAcentral